GAUCAUGGCUCAGGACGAACGCUGGCGGCGUGCUUAACACAUGCAAGUCGAACGAAGAGCGAUGGAAGCUUGCUUCUAUCAAUCUUAGUGGCGAACGGGUGAGUAACGCGUAAUCAACCUGCCCUUCAGAGGGGGACAACAGUUGGAAACGACUGCUAAUACCGCAUACGAUCCGACUUCGGCAUCGAGGAUGGAUGAAAGGUGGCCUCUAUUUAUAAGCUAUC
This 224-nucleotide ribosomal RNA is filed under the name uncultured bacterium. RNAcentral's name for it is "partial 16S ribosomal RNA". It matches the Rfam family "Bacterial small subunit ribosomal RNA", at positions 15 to 216 of the family's 1533-position model. The record is from RNAcentral.